GCCCGGAGAUAGCUGGUUCUCCCCGAAAUAGCUUUAGGGCUAGCCUCAAGGUGAGAGAUACGGAGGUAGAGCACUGAAUGUCCUAGGGGGUAUUGCACCUACCGAAGACUAUCAAACUCCGAAUGCCGUCAUCUUAUACUUGGGAGUCAGACUGUGGGUGAUAAGAUUCAUAGUCGAAAGGGCAACAGCCCAGAUCGUCAGCUAAGGUCCCUAAAUGUAAGUUAAGUGGUAAAGGAUGUGGGAUUGCACAGACAACCAGGAUGUUGGCUUAGAAGCAGCCACUCAUUCAAAGAGUGCGUAAUAGCUCACUGGUCGAGUGAUCCUGCGCCGAAGAUUUCCGGGGCUAAAAC
RNAcentral lists this ribosomal RNA (350 nucleotides) under Clostridioides difficile. RNAcentral's name for it is "partial 23S ribosomal RNA". It matches the Rfam family "Bacterial large subunit ribosomal RNA", at positions 837 to 1187 of the family's 2925-position model. Lineage: Bacteria; Bacillati; Bacillota; Clostridia; Peptostreptococcales; Peptostreptococcaceae. The record is from RNAcentral.